AUGUCUAAGCACAUGCCUUAAUACGGUGAAGCCGCGAAUAGCUCAUUACAACAGCCAUCGUUUACUAGAAAAUAUUUAUCCUACUUGGAUAACUGUGGCAAUUCUAGAGCUAAUACAUGCAAAAAAGCUCAGACUGAGAGGAAUGAGCGCAUUUAUUAGAAUAAAAACCAAUCGGGUCUAAAAGCCCGCUGUUUGGUGAAUCUGAAUAACUUUGCUGAUCGCACGGUCUAGUACCGGCGACGUAUCUUUCAAGUGUCUGCCUUAUCAACUUUCGAUGGUAGGUUGUACGCCUACCAUGGUAGUAACGGGUAACGGAGAAUAAGGGUUCGACUCCGGAGAGGGAGCCUGAGAAACGGCUACCACAUCCAAGGAAGGCAGCAGGCGCGCAAAUUACCCACUUCCAGAACGGAGAGGUAGUGACGAAAAAUAACGAGACAGUCCUCUCUGAGGUCUGUCAUCGGAAUGGGUACAAUUUAAAUCCUUUAACGAGGAUCUAUUGGAGGGCAAGUCUGGUGCCAGCAGCCGCGGUAAUUCCAGCUCCAAUAGCGUAUAUUAAAGUUGUUGCGGUUAAAACGCUCGUAGUUGAAUCUGCGGCCUGGGAGAAUGGACCCUCGAAAGGGUGGUAACUGUUACUCCUAGCCUAAAUUUUUAGUCUACUCUAUGGUGCCUUUAACCGGGUGCUUAGAGUGACUGGAACGUUUACUUUGAAAAAAUUAGAGUGCUUAAAGCAGGCGAAUUUGCCUGAAUAAGGUGCAUGGAAUAAUGGAAUAGGACCUCGGUUCUAUUUUGUUGGUUUUCGGAGCCUGAGGUAAUGAUUAAGAGGAACAGACGGGGGCAUUCGUAUUCCGGCGCUAGAGGUGAAAUUCUUGGACCGCCGGAAGACGGACGACUGCGAAAGCAUUUGCCAAGAAUGUUUUCAUUAAUCAAGAACGRAAGUUAGAGGUUCGAAGGCGAUCAGAUACCGCCCUAGUUCUAACCGUAAACGAUGACAACCAGCGAUUAGUCGGCGUUAAUAUAUGACCCGACUAGCAGCUUCCGGGAAACCAAAGUUUUUCGUUUCCGGGGGAAGUAUGGUUGCAAAGCUGAAACUUAAAGGAAUUGACGGAAGGGCACCACCAGGAGUGGAGCCUGCGGCUUAAUUUGACUCAACACGGGAAAACUCACCCGGCCCGGACACCGUAAGGAUUGACAGACUGAGAGCUCUUUCUUAAUUCGGUGGGUGGUGGUGCAUGGCCGUUCUUAGUUGGUGGAGCGAUUUGUCUGGUUAAUUCCGAUAACGAACGAGACUCUGGCCUAUUAAAUAGCCGGUAUAUAUUGAAAAGUUUGCCGCGCUUCUUAGAGGGACAACCGGCGUCUAGCCGCGUGAAAUAGAGCAAUAACAGGUCUGUGAUGCCCUUAGAUGUCCGGGGCUGCACGCGCGCUACACUGAAAGAAUCAGUAUGCGCAUUCGCCUAGUUCGGAAGAACCGGGUAACCCUAGCAAAUUCUUUCGUGCUUGGGAUAGGGAAUUGCAAUUAUUUCCCUUGAACGAGGAAUUCCCAGUAAAUGCGGGUCAUAAGCUCGCGUUGAUUACGUCCCUGCCCUUUGUACACACCGCCCGUCGCUACUACCGAUUGGAUGACUUAGUGAGGUCUUAGGACCGAGGUGAUGGAGCUUUCAUUAGUUCUUUUGCUUUGGAAAUUUGAUCGAACUACGUUAUCUAGAGGAAGU
This 1709-nucleotide ribosomal RNA is filed under the name Longidorus elongatus. RNAcentral describes it as "SSU rRNA". It matches the Rfam family "Eukaryotic small subunit ribosomal RNA". The record is from RNAcentral. Lineage: Eukaryota; Metazoa; Nematoda; Enoplea; Dorylaimida; Longidoridae.